Molecule: transfer RNA, 68 nt
Filed under: Ceratoscopelus maderensis
Lineage: Eukaryota; Metazoa; Chordata; Actinopteri; Myctophiformes; Myctophidae
Description: tRNA-Phe
Source: RNAcentral
GCUUGCGUAGCCUAGUCAAAGCAUAACACGGAAGAUGUUAAGACGGACCCUGAAAAGUCGAGAGAGCA